This 207-nucleotide ribosomal RNA is filed under the name uncultured bacterium. RNAcentral describes it as "partial 16S ribosomal RNA". It matches the Rfam family "Bacterial small subunit ribosomal RNA", at positions 568 to 774 of the family's 1533-position model. The record is from RNAcentral.
CAUGUAGGCGGCUUAAUAAGUCGAGCGUGAAAAUGCGGGGCUCAACCCCGUAUGGCGCUGGAAACUGUUAGGCUUGAGUGAAGUAGAGGUAGGCGGAAUUCCCGGUGUAGCGGUGAAAUGCGUAGAGAUCGGGAGGAACACCAGUGGCGAAGGCGGCCUACUGGGCUUUAACUGACGCUGAAGCACGAAAGCAUGGGGAAGCAAACA